RNAcentral lists this long non-coding RNA (259 nucleotides) under Elaeis guineensis (African oil palm). Its description in RNAcentral is "long non-coding RNA (EGUI_LNC054311)". Lineage: Eukaryota; Viridiplantae; Streptophyta; Magnoliopsida; Arecales; Arecaceae. The record is from RNAcentral.
ACCCUUAGAAGGCUGUCGAGAGUGCUUGCCAUAGGUACAAGCUCACCACCGACACAUAAUGUCUCUCGUGCGAAAAUGAGAAGUGCUGAUGCCACGAUACAAGAUCGCAAGAUGAGAAGUGCUAGAUGCCACAAACACAAGAUCGUCACAGGCACACAACGUCACUCAUGAGGGAUAACUAAUCAAACCCUCAGAAGGCCGUUGAGAGUGCAUGCCAUAGACACAAGCUUGCCACCGGCACACAAUGCUUCUCGCAUGA